ACUCCUACGGGAGGCAGCAGUGGGGAAUAUUGGACAAUGGGGGCAACCCUGAUCCAGCCAUGCCGCGUGAGUGAUGAAGGCCUUAGGGUUGUAAAGCUCUUUCAGCGAGGAGGAUAAUGACGUUACUCGCAGAAGAAGCCCCGGCUAACUUCGUGCCAGCAGCCGCGGUAAUACGAAGGGGGCUAGCGUUGUUCGGAAUCACUGGGGCGUAAAGCGCACGUAGGCGGAUUGAUAAGUUAGGGGGUGAAAUCCCCGGGGCUCAACCUCGGAACUGCCUUUGAUACUGUCAGUCUUGAGUCCGAGAGAGGUGAGUGGAACUCCGAGUGUAGAGGUGAAAUUCGUAGAUAUUCGGAAGAACACCAGUGGCGAAGGCGGCUCACUGGCUCGGUACUGACGCUGAGGUGCGAAAGCGU
Molecule: ribosomal RNA, 413 nt
Filed under: uncultured bacterium
Lineage: Bacteria
Description: bacterial SSU rRNA
Rfam family: Bacterial small subunit ribosomal RNA
Source: RNAcentral